GGUGAACGCUGGCGGCGUGCCUAAUACAUGCAAGUCGAGCGAACGGACGAGAAGCUUGCUUCUCUGAUGUUAGCGGCGGACGGGUGAGUAACACGUGGAUAACCUACCUAUAAGACUGGGAUAACUUCGGGAAACCGGAGCUAAUACCGGAUGAUAUUUUGAACCGCAUGGUUCAAAAGUGGAAGACGGUCUUGCUGUCACUUAUAGAUGGAUCCGCGCUGCAUUAGCUAGUUGGUAAGGUAACGGCUUACCAAGGCAACGAUGCAUAGCCGACCUGAGAGGGUGAUCGGCCACACUGGAACUGAGACACGGUCCAGACUCCUACGGGAGGCAGCAGUAGGGAAUCUUCCGCAAUGGGCGAAAGCCUGACGGAGCAACGCCGCGUGAGUGAUGAAGGUCUUCGGAUCGUAAAACUCUGUUAUUAGGGAAGAACAUAUGUGUAAGUAACUGUGCACAUCUUGACGGUACCUAAUCAGAAAGCCACGGCUAACUACGUG
This 497-nucleotide ribosomal RNA is filed under the name uncultured bacterium. RNAcentral's name for it is "partial 16S ribosomal RNA". It matches the Rfam family "Bacterial small subunit ribosomal RNA", at positions 28 to 507 of the family's 1533-position model. The record is from RNAcentral.